Oncorhynchus tshawytscha (Chinook salmon) is the source of this 7369-nucleotide long non-coding RNA. The record is from Ensembl. NCBI's taxonomy places the organism in Eukaryota, Metazoa, Chordata, Actinopteri, Salmoniformes, Salmonidae.
UGACCCUAACCUGAUCCUAUUGGCUGAAAUACCUGUUAAUCAGAACAGGGGGCUCCCCUCCUUGACACUACUCCUUUCCUACUGUAUGAUCCACCCCAAAACGUGCCCACCCUUCAAACCCUCUUCUCUCACUGUUAACCCCCCCCCAACCUCUCGUAAACCCGUACCUCUUUAUUAAAGAGUCUUUAUUCCCUACCAAACUCAAUGUCCACACUGACGCCACUCGUCAAACUGAAACAGGUGAUGUCAUUUUAGUGCCCCUUUACACCUAGAAUGCUAAUUCACUGUUGGCAUUAUAAGUCAUUUUGAUGAGAUAAGCCUGUAGGGAUUUGAUGAUCAUAGUCUUUGAUGUUACAUUUGCGUAUUUGAUAAUGGUGAAAUUGUAAUCUGAUUUUAAGUCCUUUUUUGGGUUAAAGGUUCUCUUCCUCCUUUUUGCGCUAACGCUCUCCUAUUUUUACUCUUUUCAGUGUAAAACUAAAUUGGCUAUACGUCAGGGGACUUUAUAGCCUGCUGGACUCUUUGGAUGAAUCUGAAAAGGGGGAAAUCUCCUACUUUCCUCCUUCUCCUGUAUGACCGAACAAGUCCUGCUUACGUCCCAUACGUUCAACUUCUGUCUGUUUCUGAACGUUUCUCCUCUGGACACUUCGUUCUAUGUGUUGCCCCAAUUUUGUAUUUAUUUGAUGAACUGUUUUUGUGGCGUCUUCCAGGAUGGAAUCGUGUUGAUGGAUAAAUGUGUAAACAGACAGACUGCCUCAAUUUAAAAUUAAAUGCACACAAACCAUCUGGCUUUUCUGUUAAUGUUGGAAUUUCCAGGUAUUGGUUGCUUUGAUGGGAUGGUAAGAUUCACCAUCUUUAUCCCCUCACUCCUUAGUCCACCCUCUGACCUCUAACCCCUGAUCCUGUAUACCUCCCCUAUGUCACUUUCAUUUUGCUCCUCUCCUUUUGUUGUUUUUCUCCCUUUCUCCCCUCCCUUUCUCUCUUGUCUCGUUGGGCUUUGCAUGUGGUUCUGCAGUGAAUUCUCUUCUGUAGUGGAUUGAAUUCUCUUCUGUGGAGUGUGGUAUGAGCCGGAGGUGUGGUAAGAUGAGUGGCAUGGGCGUGUGUGAUGCGUUGUGUGAUUGUUUCAGUGUGUGGUUGUGUACACGGCAGCUAAAUGAUAAGUAAUGAAUGUAAAUAUGAUUUAAGAUAAAAACAUAGACGUAGUACUUUAUCGGAAUAUUCUGUUAUAUUACAGGCUAGUGUUAUGUAGGCGUGAGUAGUGUAUUUCACAUGCCCUGCAAAUACUCUUACUUAUUUCGUGUUGUAAAGCUUCCUCAGGCAGUGUUUCAAAGGCCCAUGCCAUCUUUACUGAUUCAUAUCUUUUUCUGUCUCUCUCUCUCACUCUUUUUUAAAAUUUCAGGUGAGGAAGCAGCAGCCUGGGGAGUAGAGGAGGAAGCAGAGGAGGCGGCUGAGGAGGGAGGAGAGGAGGAGGAGGCAGCAGCAGAAGAGGCUGGAGAGGAGGCUGCAGUUGAGGAGGCUGUAGCGGCGGAAAACGGAGCAGAACCCGCGGAAGAGGCCUCAGUCGAGGCAGAAGCAGAGGCCGAGGCAGUCUCUGAAGAACCGGCUGUGGAGGCAGCGGCAGUAGAGGCAGAGGUGGCACCAGCGGAAGCGGAGACUGUGGUGGAGGAGAUUACAGAGGCUGUUGCUGAGGUCGCAGAAGAGGUCAUCGAGGUGGCAAAUGAAGUGGAGGCAGUAGCAGAGGAAGUGGCCGUGGAAGAGGCUGCUGAGGAGGCAGUUGCCGUGGAAGAGCCGGAGGAGGAGAUCAACGUGGAACCAGUCAUUCUGGCAGCAGCCUCUGCUUUGGAGGUGACGACAGUCGCUGAAGUGGUCAAAGAAGUGGUUGUGCCUAUUGUAGAAGAAGUCGAGGAGGCCGCCUCAGUGGAGUCCCCAGCUGCAGUGGAGGAGGCCACAGCUGCAGUGGAGGAGGGAACAGCUGCAGUGGAGGAGGCCACAGCUGCCCCACUUGAGGCUGCACCCGUAGAAGAGGACCCAGCUGCAGUGGAGGAGCCCCCAGCUGCUCAACUUGAGGCUGCACCUGUAGAAGAGGCCCCGGCUGCAGUGGAGGAGGCCCCGGCUGCAGUGGAGGAGGCCCCGGCUACAGUGGAAGAGGCCCCGGCUGCAGUGGAAGAGGCCCCGGCUGCAGUGGAAGAGGCCCCGGCUGCAGUGGAAGAGGCCCCGGCUGCAGUGGAAGAGGCCCGGCUGCAGUGGAAGAGGCCCCGGCUGCAGUGGAAGAGGCCCCGGCUGCAGUGGAAGAGGCCCCGGCUGCAGUGGAAGAGGCCCCGGCUGCUGUGGAAGAGGCCCCGGCUGCUGUGGAGGAGGCCCCGGCUGCUGUGGAGGAGGCCCCAGCUGCCCCACUUGAGGCUGAACUCAUUGAAGAGGCUGCAGUGAAGGAGGCCCCAGCUGCAGUGGAGGAGGCUGCAGUGGAGGAGGCCCCAGCUGCCCCACUUGAGGCCACACCCGUAGAAGAGGCCCCAACCAUAGAAGAGACCCCACCUGAGGUGGAGGAGGCUGCAGUGGAGGAGGCCCCAGCUGCAGUGGAGGAGGUCCCAGCUGCCCCACCCGUAGAAGAGUCCCCACCCGUAGAAGAGGCUGCGAUGAAAGAGGCCCCAGCUGCAGUGGAGGCUGCCCCAGUUGUGGUGGUGGCACCUGUGGAGGCGCCCAAGAAGGAGUACAUUGUAGUGGUGCUGGAGGGAGCAGCCAAGACUGAUAAGAGGCCCAAAGUCCUGGGGGUCGGCCCCAUGACCGGCAGGAUCAUCCCAUCUCCAGACGAUGAUGAGGCCCCUGCUGCUGAGGGCAAGCGACGGCUGCUUAGGAUGCAGAUGCAGUAGAACCACCUGACAGUAAGCACUUGGAGCCCCUGGAUGAUAUACAGUUUCUCUACCCUGAGGGAGAAGAGGGGAUGUGCCUUCCCCAACCCCCCUUUCAUUGACCUCUCCACACACUUUGACCUUUGACCCUUGAUAUUGAAUAUUGAUCUGUAGUAUAAAACUUGUCUUCUCGUCUUGGUCUAGGGAAUUAUCUGUGUAUAUAUUCAGAUAAUGCCUGCUUUAUGGAAAAAUACAUGAUCUGGUAUGUUUUUCUAGAUGUACAACACCCCUCAAAUUCCCCUCCCCCCAAAAAAGUCCCCCUCCGUCACACCGGGCAAGCUAAAUUAUAAUAAUCUGGGAAUAUUUGACCAUGGAAACAUUCCUGGUUGACGUCAGGAGAAUGUAACUGUUUGCCAAAGUUACACAAGUUUGCCAAAAUACCUUAGACUAACUAUUGGACUGAAAUAGUUAUAUAUUAACUUAAUUUUGUAGCUCUCCAUUAGAAGCUGGCAGGAACUGGGCCCAGCAGAAUUUGACCCAAUGUGAUUGGUUGACGAUAUGACACAUUGGCUCGCUAGCCUAUACCCUACGUUUUGUCGGGUUGGAAUGCAAUCAAUGUCAAUUCUGAUCAAAUGGAUGGGAACUCUAAAUUGAAAUACGCAGUGGUGGAAAAAGUACUACAUUUUCAUACUUGAGUAAAAGUAAAGAUGCCUUAAUAGAAAAUGACUAAGGUUAAAGUGAAAGUCACCCAGUAAAAUACUACUUGAGUAAAAAAAAUGUAUUAAAGGUUUUAAAUAUAUUUAAGUAUCAAAUAUAAUUGCUAAAACGUAUCAAAAGUAAAAGUAUAAAUCAUUUCAAAUUCCUUAUUAAGCAAAUCAGACAACACCAUUUUCGUGAUAUCCAAUUGGUAGUUAGUCUUUCCCAUCGCUGCAACUCCCGUACGGACUCGGGAGAGACAAGACCCUGCCAAGCCUCACUGCUUCUUGAUACACUGCUCUCUUAAUCCAAAAGCCAGCCACACCAAUGUGUCGGAGGAAACAACUGGUGGCGGAAGUCAGCUUGCAGGCACCCGGCCCGCCACAAGGACUUGCUAGAGCACGAUGGGACAAGGACAUCCCAGCCGGGCCAAACCCUCCACAAUUUAAAUAAAAUAUAAUAAAUAUUAUGGAUAGCCAAGAGCACACUCUAACACCGACAUAAUUUACAAACAACGCAUUUGUGUUUAGUGAGUCCACCAGAUCUGAGGCAGUAGGGAUGACCAGGGAUGUUCUUUUGAUAAGUGCUUGAAUUGGACCAUUUUCCUGCCCUAAGCAUUCAAAAUGAAACACGUACUUUUGGGUGUCAGGGAAAAUGUAUGGUGUAUAAAGUAUAAAAAAUAUACUUGAGUAGUACUUUAAAGUAUUUUUACUUUACACCACUAGAAAAACAGAAGAAAUGUACAUUUUUUUGUGACUAAGUCAGGACACCUGAAAAGUGGCUGAAAAACAGGACUGUCCUGUGAAAAAACGGGACAUAUGGUCACCCUAACACAAAGGGUCAACCUACUAGACUACAAUGUUAAUCACAAUUAACUUUGAACACCGGUAGGCUUACACAUGAACACAUACAGGCUUCCGAAAAAUACAUCUGAUCGAAUAUCAACUUCAAUAGGGUAAAAUAACAAUAGACUACAUCACCAAUACUCAAAUGAUCAUUAUUUUCUCCUUUUAGGGGAGCUCCCCUGUAAUUUGCACCGUGGUCAUGCCCUUGACUAUCCUCCCCAUGCCCUAGUUUACUUCACCUAAGAAACUUCACAAUGGUGUUUCAUAAUUCAUCAUCAUCCAAUGCAAUACUACAUCUGAUGCUUAGCCACCAAAAGUCAACCACUAAUUGCUUCAGGACUGGGCAGGACAAGGUGGGGUUUUGGUGUGACCAGCAUUCUUUAACUAUCCUCAGGUUUUUCCUCGUUGAGCCGAUUCCAAUGUGAACAUAAGUAUUUAACUCUCAAAGACAUAGUGAUCGGAGACUCUCUAUUUCUGAGUCACUGGCUUGUUUUUGGGAGACGAGACACGGUAGACUACCUCGGCAUUCCUCCUCUUUUCCCCCAGCUGAUGAUCCACAGACCUUUUAUUAAUGCAGUCGGAGUAUUAAAGUUGAACCAACCUUCUCAGUUGCAAGACAGACAUGGGAUUAUUUUGGGGGAAAUGAGCAUGAUGAGAGUCGGUCAGGUUUUCACAUUCAGUGAUAUCGCUUAAGCUAGACUAGCAUAUUUCAUGAUAUCGCUAUUCAGCAAUAUUUCACAAGGCAGACAUUUUUGUCUCUUUACUUUCUCCCACACCCUCUGUUGUAGAGUUGUUCUCUCUGUUUCCACACCAUGGCUAUAGAAUACACAGCUGUUGGAUAGACAAUCCAUUUGUGAAGCUGUAUCUGAAAUAGAAAAAAGCCAUUUGUUUGAGUGUAUAAUGUGGUUUCCGAGUCUGGUAUAAACAGUCGUGUGUUGUUAUCAUAUGAAAGUUGCAUUUUUACUCAAGUCAGGCUUGUGUGGUUGCAUAAGUUAAUUCGAUGGCUCAGUAAAGCGUGUUGCUAUGAUUUUGUCUGCUUUUCAAAUGAUAUGACUUAUUAGUUUGUGUUAGAUUCAUGUAUAAAUGUUCAACUUUGUCAAAACCAGUUAAAAUAAUCGGUGGGCCAAUACAAGGCUCUCACUGUACUCUACAGAUUUGUUGUAGAACUAGUUCUUCUCACUUUCCUUCCCUCACUUUAUAUAUUGGAGUUCUUGCUAUGUUUAGGCAUAUUUGAAAAGGGACUGAGACCAUUGAUAAGUGAAUGUAAGCUUAUUCCUAAUUAAGGAGUGGGAUAAUUCAAUUUGUCUGUCCUAAUGUUUGCAGGCACUUUUUGUAUGGGAUAUAUAUGGUACCAGUCAAACGUUUGGACACACCUACUCAUUCCAGAGUUUUUCUUUAUUUGUACAUAUAUUUUUUUUUACAUUGUAGGAUAAUAGUAAUAAAGACAUCAACUGUGAAAUAAAACAUAUGGAAUCAUGUAGUAACCAAAAAAGUGUUAAACAAAUCAAAAUAUGUUUUAUAUUUGAGAAUCUUCAAAGUAGCCACCCUUUGCCUUGACAGCUUUGCACACUCUUGGCAUUCUCUCGAACCAGCUUCAUGAGGUAGUCACCUGGAAUGCAUUUCAAUUAACAGGUGUGCCUUGUUAAAGUUCAUUUGUGGAUUUUCUUUCCUUCUUAAUGCAUUUGAGCCAAUCAGUUGUGUUGUGACAAGGUAGGAUAGGUAUACAGAAGAUAGCACUAUUUGGUAAAAGACCAAGUCCACAUUAUAGAAAGAACAGCUAAAAUAAGCAAAAAUAAAUGACAGUCCAUCAUUACUUUAAGACAGGAAGGUCUGUCAAUUCGUAAAAUGUUAAGGACUUUGAACGUUUCUUCAAGUGCAGUCACAAAAACCAUCACGUGCUAUGGUGAAACUGGCUCUCAGGACCGCCACAGGAAAGGAAGACCCAGAGUUACCUCUGCUGCAGAGGAUAAGUAAUUUACCUUCCUCAGAAAUCGGCACUUAUCUGCACCCCAGAAAUGGCAGUCCAAAUAAAAUGAAAUGGCAGCUCUUCUUCACAGAGUUCAAGUAACAGACACAUGUCAACAUCAACUGUUCAGAGGAUACUGCGUGAAUCAGGCCUUCAUUAGACUGGUGGAAAUCUGUCCCUUGGUCUGAUGAGUCCAAAUGUUAGAUUUUUGGUUCCUACUGCCGUGUCUUUGUGAGAUGCAGAGUAGGUGAACGAAUGAUCUCCGCAUGUGUGGUUCCCACUGCGAAGCAUGGAUGAGGAAGUGUGGGGGUGCUUUGCUGGUGAAACUGAUUUAUUUAGAAUUCAAGGCACACUUAACCAGCAUGGCUACCACAGCAUUCUGCAGUGAUACGCCAUCCCAUCUGGUUUGCGCUGAGUGGGACUAUCAUUUGUAUUUCAACAGGACAAUGACCCAACACAGCUCCAGGCUGUGUUUGGGAUAUUUGACCAAGAAGGAGAGUGAUGGAGUGCUGCAUCAGAUGACCUGACCUCCACAAUCACCCAACCUCAACCCAAUUGAAAUGGUUUGGGAGGAGUUGGACUGCAGAGUGAAGGAUAAGCAGCCAACAAGUGCUCAGCACAUUUGGGAACUCCUUCAAGACUGUUGGAAAAGCAUUCCAGGUGACUACCUCAUGAAGCUGAUCGAGAGAAUGCCAAGCGUGUGCAGAGCUGUCAUCAAGGCAAAGGGUGGCUACUUUGAAGAAUCUCAAAUAUAAAACAUAUUUUGAUUUGUUUAACACUUUCUUGUUUACUACAUGACUCCAUAUGUGUUAUUUCAUAUUUGAUGUCUUCACUAUUAUUCUACAAUGUAGGAAAUAGUCAAAAUAAAGAAAAACCCUUGAAUGAGUAUGUGUCCAAACUUUUGACCGGUACUGUAUAUAGAGGCUUGUUCUGUCAUGUGAGUGGAUGGCUUGCCACUGUGCAAUGGCCUAGCAUGGGCCAGAAACUGACUGUGAAACAACAUUGCUGUUUUUCUGAAA